Molecule: ribosomal RNA, 992 nt
Filed under: uncultured euryarchaeote
Lineage: Archaea; Methanobacteriati; Methanobacteriota
Description: bacterial SSU rRNA
Rfam family: Archaeal small subunit ribosomal RNA
Source: RNAcentral
CUUUUCCGUUUUAAUCCCCCGGAGGUUACUGCUAUCGGUGUUCGACUAAGCCAUGCGAGUCAAAUGUUCUUCGUGAACAUGGCGGACUGCUCAGUAACACGUGGAUACUGUUCUUUAGGUUCGGCAUAACUCCGGGAAACUGGGAGAUAAUUCCGAAUAGGUCAAAUAUGCUGGAAUGCUUUUUGGCCAAAAGACUCGGUUGCCCUAAGGAUGGAUCUGCGGUCUAUCAGGUUGUAGUGGGUGUAACGUACCUACUAGCCUACGACGGAUAUGGGUUGUGAGAGCAAGACCCAGAGAUGGAUUCUGAGACAUGAAUCCAGGCCCUACGGGGCGCAACAGGCGCGAAAAACUUUACAAUGCGGGAAACCGCGAUAAGGGGGACACCGAGUGCCAGCAUUUAUGUUGGCUGUCCACAUGUGUAAACGGCAUUGUGGUAAGCAAGGGCCGGGCAAAACCGGUGCCAGCCGCCGGGUAACACCGGCGGCCGAGUGGAAAUCACUUUUAUGGGUCUAAAAGGGUCCGUAGCCCGGUUUGGAUCAAGUUCCUUCGGGAAAAUCUGGACAGCUCAAACUGGUUAAGGCUUCUGGGGGAAAUACUGUCAGAACUUGGGGAACCGGGGAAGAGGGUUAAGAAGGUACUAACAGGGGGUUAGGAAGUUGAAAAUCUUUGUUAAUCCCCUGUGGGGAACCACCAAGUGGCUGAAAGCGUUCUUAACCAAGAAACGGGGUCCGAACGGUUGAAGGACGAAAAGCUGGGGGCACGAAACCCGGAUAAAUUACCCCGGGUAAUUCCCCAGCCCGUAAAACCAUGUUCGCUAAGUUGUCAGGGCCGGUGCGAACCGCUUUCUGGUGCCCGUAAGGGAAACCCCUGAAACCGAAACCACCUGGGAAAGUACGGCCCGCAAGGCCUUGAAAACUUAAAGGAAAUUGGCGGGGGGAGCACUAACAACGGGGAGGCCUGGCGGUUUUAAAUUGGGAUUUCAACGCCGGAAA